Long non-coding RNA from Sinocyclocheilus rhinocerous, 432 nucleotides. RefSeq lists it as uncharacterized. The record is from RefSeq and is a predicted model, not a curated record. The transcript has 3 exons. NCBI's taxonomy places the organism in Eukaryota, Metazoa, Chordata, Actinopteri, Cypriniformes, Cyprinidae.
AUUAGUUAAAUUCAUGCAUAAAUUGGGAAAACUCCCAUUGGCUGUUGCAUCACUCAUUGCGCACAUGAUGUUGCGGGGCGGAGCUACGUCAUCAGCAGCAGAGUCUCUAUAAUCUCCCUGCUGCUAAGACUUCUCAUGCAACAUCGAUGCAAUGUAUUCUAACCAGCCUUUUGGUCGUGUUUGUCCCAGUUUUGUCUGUCAGGCCCAGUAAAGCAUCCUUGAGUGACCAUCCACCUGAUCUCAGUGUGAAUUACUCCAACACACACAGUCACAUUGGUGCCGUGACCUGUUGUUCCUUCAAUCAAGAUGGUUCCUGAAGUGGCCGAGGGUUCAUCUUAAAGUUUUCGCUGGAGUCGGGUGGACACAAUCUUGUACAGAAACUGUGGUAAUUUUUUAUUAUUUUUUUUUCCAAAAAGAAUACGAGAUGCCUUC